Molecule: microRNA precursor, 96 nt
Filed under: Nicotiana attenuata
Lineage: Eukaryota; Viridiplantae; Streptophyta; Magnoliopsida; Solanales; Solanaceae
Description: MIR6152 microRNA precursor family
Rfam family: MIR6152 microRNA precursor family
Source: Rfam by way of RNAcentral
UGGACAGAUUAUUGUAUUCAACUGUAUUCACAGCGUGGAACAGAGGAUUACACUGUUUUUAAACGGAAAGUGAAUCAAUUAACAUAAUAGACUCCU